Molecule: ribosomal RNA, 368 nt
Filed under: uncultured organism
Description: bacterial SSU rRNA
Rfam family: Bacterial small subunit ribosomal RNA
Source: RNAcentral
CGGAGGGUGCAAGCGUUAUCCGGAUUCACUGGGUUUAAAGGGUGCGUAGGCGGGCAGGUAAGUCCGUGGUGAAAUCCCCGAGCUUAACUCGGGAACUGCCAUGGAUACUAUUUGUCUUGGAUAUUGUGGAGGUAAGCGGAAUAUGUCAUGUAGCGGUGAAAUGCUUAGAUAUGACAUAGAACACCAAUUGCGAAGGCAGCUUACUACACAGUUAUUGACGCUGAGGCACGAAAGCGUGGGGAUCAAACAGGAUUAGAUACCCUGGUAGUCCACGCCCUAAACGAUGAUUACUCGACAUCAGCGAUACACUGUUGGUGUCUGAGCGAAAGCAUUAAGUAAUCCACCUGGGAAGUACGAUCGCAAGAUUG